UGCGUAGGUGGGCAGGUAAGUCAGUGGUGAAAUCUCUAAGCUUAACUUAGAAACUGCCGUUGAUACUAUCUGUCUUGAAUGUAGUGGAGGUGAGCGGAAUAUGUCAUGUAGCGGUGAAAUGCUUAGAUAUGACAUAGAACACCCACUUGCGAAGGCAGCUCGCUACACUAUUAUUGACACUGAGGCACGAAAGCGUGGGGAUCAAACAGGAUUAGAUACCCUGGUAGUCCACGCCCUAAACGAUGGAUACUCGACAUCAGCGAUACACUGUUGGUGUCUGAGCGAAAGCAUUAAGUAUCCCACCUGGGAAGUACGACCGCAAGGUUGAA
RNAcentral lists this ribosomal RNA (329 nucleotides) under uncultured bacterium. Its description in RNAcentral is "bacterial SSU rRNA". It matches the Rfam family "Bacterial small subunit ribosomal RNA", at positions 568 to 898 of the family's 1533-position model. The record is from RNAcentral.